AUCCAGCUGACGAGUCCCAAAAUAGGACGAAACGUGCAUCCUGGAU
Molecule: non-coding RNA, 46 nt
Organism: Schistosoma haematobium
Lineage: Eukaryota; Metazoa; Platyhelminthes; Trematoda; Strigeidida; Schistosomatidae
Source: Rfam